RNAcentral lists this ribosomal RNA (546 nucleotides) under bacterium 73_VP8_F3. RNAcentral describes it as "bacterial SSU rRNA". It matches the Rfam family "Bacterial small subunit ribosomal RNA", at positions 337 to 873 of the family's 1533-position model. The record is from RNAcentral.
UUAAACGGGAGGCAGCAGUGGGGAAUAUUGCACAAUGGGGGAAACCCUGAUGCAGCCAUGCCGCGUGUGUGAAGAAGGCCUUCGGGUUGUAAAGCACUUUCAGUUGUGAGGAAAAGUUAGUAGUUAAUACCUGCUAGCCGUGACGUUAACAACAGAAGAAGCACCGGCUAACUCCGUGCCAGCAGCCGCGGUAAUACGGAGGGUGCGAGCGUUAAUCGGAAUUACUGGGCGUAAAGCGCACGCAGGCGGUUUGUUAAGCUAAAUGUGAAAGCCCCGGGCUCAACCUGGGAUGGUCAUUUAGAACUGGCAGACUAAAGUCUUGGAGAGGGGAGUGGAAUUCCAGGUGUAGCGGUGAAAUGCGUAGAUAUCUGGAGGAACAUCAGUGGCGAAGGCGACUCCCUGGCCAAAGACUGACGCUCAUGUGCGAAAGUGUGGGUAGCGAACAAGAUUAGAUACCCUGGUAGUCCACACCGUAAACGCUGUCUACUACCUGUUUGUGACUUUAAGUCCUGAGUAACCAAACCUAACGCGCUAAGUAGACCGCCC